UACGAAGGGGGCUAGCGUUGUUCGGAAUUACUGGGCGUAAAGCGUGCGUAGGUUGUUAUUCAAGUCAGAGGUGAAAUCCCAGAGCUUAACUCUGGAAUUGCCUUUGAAACUGGAUAGCUAGAGAGUGAUAGAGGUGAGUGGAAUUCCUAGUGUAGGAGUGAAAUCCGUAGAUAUUAGGAGGAACAUCAAUGGCGAAGGCAGCUCACUGGGUCAUUUCUGACACUGAGGCACGAAAGCGUGGGUAGCAAACAGG
This 253-nucleotide ribosomal RNA is filed under the name uncultured bacterium. RNAcentral's name for it is "partial 16S ribosomal RNA". It matches the Rfam family "Bacterial small subunit ribosomal RNA", at positions 524 to 776 of the family's 1533-position model. The record is from RNAcentral.